This 45-nucleotide non-coding RNA is filed under the name Schistosoma bovis. The record is from RNAcentral. Lineage: Eukaryota; Metazoa; Platyhelminthes; Trematoda; Strigeidida; Schistosomatidae. RNAcentral also lists the same sequence under 1 other name.
AUCCAGCUGACGAGCCCUAAAUAGGACGGUACGUGAGUCGUGGAU